This 111-nucleotide small RNA is filed under the name Marmota monax (woodchuck). Lineage: Eukaryota; Metazoa; Chordata; Mammalia; Rodentia; Sciuridae. The record is from RNAcentral.
GCUGGGCCCAGUGGUGUAGGCCUGUAAUCCCAGCUACCUAGGAGACUGAGACAAGAGGUUCGCAAGUUUGAGGCCAGCGUGGGCAACUCACUUAGGGAGAUCCUGUCUCAA